Non-coding RNA from Cephalotrichum gorgonifer, 84 nucleotides. The record is from the annotation of a GenBank genome assembly. Lineage: Eukaryota; Fungi; Ascomycota; Sordariomycetes; Microascales; Microascaceae.
AUGGGUGUGCUGGAACUGGCAGACAGGUUUCACUUAGGAUGAAAUGGUUUAAGUGCCUUGCAAGUUCGACUCUUGUCACCUAUA